Molecule: non-coding RNA, 24 nt
Filed under: Arabidopsis thaliana (thale cress)
Lineage: Eukaryota; Viridiplantae; Streptophyta; Magnoliopsida; Brassicales; Brassicaceae
Source: RNAcentral
AGUGUGUUCGUUUAGUGGCCGCAU